GAUAUUGGACAAUGGGGGCAACCCUGAUCCAGCCAUGCUGCCUGUGUGAAGAAGGUCUCCUGAUUGUAAAGCACUCUAUGUUGGGAGGAAGGGCCUUACGCUGAUACCCUGUAGUGUUGACGUUACUAACAGAAUAAUCACCGACUAACUAUGUUCCAGCAGCCGCGGUAAUAAAGCGGGAGCAAGCGUUAAUCGGAAUUACUGGGCGUAAAGCGCGGGUAGGGGGUUAAGUAAGGUCAGUGUGAAAUCCCCGGGCUUAACCUGGGAACUGCUUUCGAAACUGGUGAGCUAGAGUACGGUAGAGGGUAGUGGAAUUUCCGGUGUAGCGGUGAAAUGCGUAGAUAUCGGGAGGAACACCGAUGGCGAAGGCGGCUACCUGGACUGAUACUGACACUGAGGUGCGAAAGCGUGGGGAGCAAAC
RNAcentral lists this ribosomal RNA (421 nucleotides) under uncultured bacterium. Its description in RNAcentral is "partial 16S ribosomal RNA". It matches the Rfam family "Bacterial small subunit ribosomal RNA", at positions 359 to 773 of the family's 1533-position model. The record is from RNAcentral.